Molecule: long non-coding RNA, 626 nt
Filed under: Cricetulus griseus (Chinese hamster)
Lineage: Eukaryota; Metazoa; Chordata; Mammalia; Rodentia; Cricetidae
Description: lncRNA (ENSCGRG00000025815.1)
Source: RNAcentral
UGCCUGCUGCAGAGAAGCCUGCCACAUAGCAGGAGAGCAAGCUGUCCCAUGUUGUUGGUAGGGUCACGGUCCUGCAGAAGGCAUACAGCAAGCUGCUACAGUGAUGGAGGGGUCUGAAUGGCAUAACCACCCCCACCCAGGCCAGCAGUAAGUGCCAACUUCACCAGCAAGAAUGUGCUCUCUGGAACUGAAUGGAAAACCCCUCUACACUCUCCACAAUAACCUGGUCUCCACUGAACGGGGGACCUCAGAGUCAUGCCUGGAAAUGCAGAUCCUUCCAAACAACAAAAAGAAUGCUGACAUUUCCAUAUCCAGUCUUCUGUACAUCCUGCCUGCCAGAUCCAGGAAAAGGUGGAUUCAGAAAUGCAUACGGAAGCAUAACACUGACCAAUGCCCAGAGAGCUAGACAUGUGCAAACCUCAAAAUUAGGGGCAGUUUCCAUGGAUUCAGAUCACACACUGCUUGUUAAACAAUCUCACUAACUCUAUGGACAAUAAAAAAAUACAAGGAAACUGAUUGUUACAUUUGUUAAAAAGGGUCAAACAGUGGGAAAUGGGUCUGUAAACUUAAGUCUGGUGUUUACUUUGUCUAUAAAAGUAGCACCUGCCAAGUAAAUUAAGGGUAAC